RNAcentral lists this ribosomal RNA (497 nucleotides) under uncultured bacterium. Its description in RNAcentral is "partial 16S ribosomal RNA". It matches the Rfam family "Bacterial small subunit ribosomal RNA", at positions 28 to 507 of the family's 1533-position model. The record is from RNAcentral.
GACGAACGCUGGCGGCGUGCCUAAUACAUGCAAGUUGAGCGAUGAAGAUUGGUGCUUGCACCAAUUUGAAGAGCAGCGAACGGGUGAGUAACGCGUGGGGAAUCUGCCUUUGAGCGGGGGACAACAUUUGGAAACGAAUGCUAAUACCGCAUAACAACUUUAAACAUAAGUUUUAAGUUUGAAAGAUGCAAUUGCAUCACUCAAAGAUGAUCCCGCGUUGUAUUAGCUAGUUGGUGAGGUAAAGGCUCACCAAGGCGAUGAUACAUAGCCGACCUGAGAGGGUGAUCGGCCACAGUGGGACUGAGACACGGCCCAAACUCCUACGGGAGGCAGCAGUAGGGAAUCUUCGGCAAUGGACGAAAGUCUGACCGAGCAACGCCGCGUGAGUGAAGAAGGGUUUCGGAUCGUAAAACUCUGUUGGUAGAGAAGAACGUUGGUGAGAGUGGAAAGCUCAUCAAGUGACGGUAACUACCCAGAAAGGGACGGCUAACUACGUG